CGAAUGCAUCUAGAUUAGAGUUGAUCAUGGCUCAGAUUGAACGCUGGCGUGCCAAGCUUAACACAUGCAAGUCGAGCGGGGAAGGUUGCUUCGGUAACUGACCUAGCGGCGGACGGGUGAGUAAUGCUUAGGAAUCUGCCAUUUAGUGGGGGACAACAUUCCGAAAGGAAUGCUAAUACCGCAUACGUCCUACGGGAGAAAGCAGGGGAUCUUCGGACCUUGCGCUAAAUGAUGAGCCUAAGUCGGAUUAGCUAGUUGGUGGGGUAAAGGCCUACCAAGGCGACGAUCUGUAGCGGGUCUGAGAGGAUGAUCCGCCACACUGGGACUGAGACACGGCCCAGACUCCUACGGGAGGCAGCAGUGGGGAAUAUUGGACAAUGGGCGGAAGCCUGAUCCAGCCAUGCCGCGUGUGUGAAGAAGGCCUUAUGGUUGUAAAGCACUUUAAGCGAGGAGGAGGCUACCAGUAUUAAUACUACUGGAUAGUGGACGUUACUCGCAGAAUAAGCACCGGCU
RNAcentral lists this ribosomal RNA (513 nucleotides) under uncultured bacterium. Its description in RNAcentral is "bacterial SSU rRNA". It matches the Rfam family "Bacterial small subunit ribosomal RNA", at positions 1 to 498 of the family's 1533-position model. The record is from RNAcentral.